This 433-nucleotide ribosomal RNA is filed under the name uncultured bacterium. RNAcentral's name for it is "partial 16S ribosomal RNA". It matches the Rfam family "Bacterial small subunit ribosomal RNA", at positions 29 to 507 of the family's 1533-position model. The record is from RNAcentral.
AACGAACGCUGGCGGCAUGCCUAACACAUGCAAGUCGAACGGGACCUUCGGGUCUGGUGGCGCACGGGUGCGUAGCGCGUGGGAACAUGCCCUUGGAUUCGGCAUAACUCCCCGAAAGGGGUGCUAAUACCGGCUCAUGUCUUCGAACCAAAGAUUGAUCGCGUUUGGGUGGGCUCGCGUUGGAUUGGCUGGUUGGUAGGGUAAAAGCCUACCACGGCGACGAUGCGUAACGGGGUGGAGAGGCUGCUCAGCGACACUGGGCCGAGGACACGGCCCAGAAUCUUACGGGAGGGAGCAGUGGGGAAUAUUGGACAACGGGGGGAAGGAUGAUCCAGCAAUGAUGGGUGAGUGAUGAAGGUUGGAGGGUUGUAAAGCACGUUUACCCGGGAUGAUAUUGACAGUACCGGGAGAAUAAGCGCCGGCUAACUUCGUG